Molecule: long non-coding RNA, 4538 nt
Organism: Dromaius novaehollandiae (emu)
Lineage: Eukaryota; Metazoa; Chordata; Aves; Casuariiformes; Dromaiidae
Exons: 2
Source: RefSeq, a predicted model, not a curated record
CCCCCCCCCCCCCCCCCGAUGGUAUGCAGUUACCUAAUGCUCACAGCACCGUGAUGUCCCUAGGAGUGCUGCAAAGAAGAUGCUGUUUUAUCGCUGUGAUCCUGUUUUCCUUACCAACCCUUUAGUUAGUAAAGGGGCAAAGAUCUGUGAUGUUGGAUACCAGAGCUCUCUCGCUGCAUUUAUGCCCUGUACGGAUGAUCUUGUUCUCAUCUUUGCAUGAGAUCACAAGCAGGGAGUGGUGUUUCACAAGCUUUCCUCCAGCUGCAGCUGAACGGAUUCAAGUGUUAGGGGGUUGUGCAUCCUGAGAGGAGGUGGCAGCUUGGUUUCCACCUAGGUCUUUGGCUUGAGAACAUCUUGGUCUUUCACGGGACAAAAUUACGAUUGUAAAAGUUGCAAGGCAGGACCCUAAACUAUUGAAUGGUGUUUAUUUUCCUUCCUGCCUUGGAAUUCCAGGAACUUUCCUUCAGCUUUGGGGUAGGAAAAUGUUUCCUUUGUUAUGCAGAGGCAGAGUCCUGGGCUAAAAGCUAAUGAGUGUCAUUAGAGCAGAUAAAGCAGAGAUACUAGGCAGCAAAUGGCUUCUCUUUAAAGCUAAACCAAACCUGUUAGUUCGGGGUUUCAGCCUGAACUUCGGUUUCGUCCUGUUUCUGAGUGGGAGGCAGUAAGGGGGGGUGAGGUGAGGCAUGCCAGGAGACAUGAUGUCAAAUCUGGCUUUUGAGCAGAUCUACCUGGGCAUCCUCACCUGCUUUCCUUGGGCAGAGCUCAAGACACAGAAGUGCCUUAUUCUCAAAGGUUUCAAAGGUCAUUUGGGUCCCUAAAUACCCAUGGGGAUUUGGACUUAGUUUCUACUCUGCUCUUAAAGAAGGAUUUAAUAGCACUUUCUUAUCCCCUGGAUAUCACAUACACGAUGAUAUCAAGAUAGACAAGAGAGACAAAGACCAAAAAAGUCACUGGCGAGAUCCAGAAGUUUGAUAUUUAAGUAAAACUUUCUUCAUACUUUUUUUGUUUCCAUGCAGGUGGAGUUAGUUUGCAGCUUUUGCUGUUCGUGCAGCUGUUCCAGUUGUGCUUAAACUGGUUUCCAAAAGGGUCCUGGUCAAUUUAAAAAGGUUAUCUGUAAGCAGCUGGGAAGCUGGAUUUCUAUCAAAAGUUAGGAAGUUGGACUUGUUACUUUUUGGACCAAGGGCAGGGGGCUUCUCCAGCAACCUGGCCCUUUCCUUGCCACAAGCAGACACAAUGUGUCGAGCUCUAAACCUGAACUGGUUUCUUUGUGGAGUACAAGACAUUGUGAUUCCUAAACAGAGUAUGAAAGCUGUUUCCUAUGCCUCAGAAACAGGCCAUUGUAAUGGGGUUUUGAUACUGAUGGUGUCAGUUAAUGUUUUAAAGCUAUUGCAGAUGCUCCCAUGGCUUAAGGACACUUACUCUUGGCUCUCAGCUCAUUUUCUUCAGGUGUCUGAUAGCAGGUUCCUGGCUGAGCUGUGAUGUGACUUCUGGCAGUUGACCUGACAACCUUGGAGCAGUUAAAGACCAACUGCGAGGUGCUCUAAGGGGUCAUGACUCAAAGGCCAGGCGACCUGCAAGCUGGGAAAGCUGGCUUCUCCCAUCUGUCCUUCAACUACCAUGUGCCAGUGACUUUACACCAUGCUGCAGUUCUGAAGCUUUCUGAAUAUCAACUAUACUUCUUCAUCCUUCCCCCCUGCGCCAAGAAAUCACAAACGUCCCCACCUUAGAGUUACUUUGUGACUGAUAAUUUCUCAUUUCUAUAUAGGGAAAGCCAAAGUAAGCAGCAGAGCUCAAGAAAGAGCUGAUGGCUCCUAGCACCAGUGGCUCAGUCUCUCGUACCUCCAGGGACCACCAUGCCUUGUUAGGAAAAAAGAAAAGGAAAAAAGGACUAUUGUGUGCAGGGAGACUGUCCUGGCUUAGUAGAGAAGAGAGGAGGGGGUCUGGUGCUCACAGGUGACUGAGGAGUCCCCAGCAGAGAGGCACUUCUGCUGUGUGUCAUCCUGGUCCCUAUCAUGGUGCUGUUGGGGUCUGGCCCUUCCUUUGUGUCCUACUGCUGCAGGACGAGGGACUCGCAGUAAAAAUGGGUGUUUAAGCUCCCAAAGUAAUAACAGCCUGUGCCAGCACUUUGUUCUGUCUCAACCUACAUGAAAAAAAAUAUGUAUAUAUAGCAAACCCACCCAAAACACAGCGCUGCCACUGUGGGUCUCAUGAGAUCAGUGUAGUUCAGCAGAGAGGGGACAGAAGCAAAAUCUCCAGUGUCAUUUGAAUUUUUUCACCACCUUUGGUAUCAUUGGGAGAUGCUCACAGUGGAUUUGCCUUAAUAGAUGUGGUGCAAGGAGGCAAAACUCCCAGCUCCUUUCUGCACCCGCCUUUGCUGUGGGCCUGGGAGCUGCUCCCUGCCGGGCUUCUUCCACUGCUUGCCCAGUGGCUGCUUUGCAGGGGCCGGUGGUGGGGUGGCAAGGGACGACCGCUCAGGGAGGCGAACAGAGAGGAAUUUUAUAAGGGGUGAGAAGGAAAAAAACAGUCAUCCAGCUCUGGGCGCUAGCCAGGAGCGAGGGGGAAAGUGGAGCAGGACUGCUCCAGCCGCAGAAGCCUCGCUCCCCGUCUGCUUGCAGCUCAGCCCUGAUGGCCGGGUGUUGGGGAGCUCUGCUCCGAGGGGCGUUGCAGAAAACAUCAACUAAAAAAUAGCUGUGGAUACCCUGGGACCUGUGGGGAAUGGCCAGGCUGGGCUGGGGGCUGUAACGAGAGACCCAGCUGCUUGUUCCUGGUGGCUUGGGUGUCAAUGCGGCAGCCAGGACGCCUGGGUCUUGUCUUAAAUCCAGCCUUGGCACUUCUAGUUUGUCAUCCCUGGCACCGCUUGCCUUGAUGUGGCUUGGCCCCCUGCCCCAAGCUAUCAAGAUGCCUGCAGGUACCGCGCUGGCCUCUCACUGGGCUGCACAUCACUUGCCGAGCUUCCCCAGGGAGUGGAUGACGCUUUGAGCUCUGCAGCUGGAGGACAAGAGCCAUAGUUAAAGCAAGCUGAGGUGUGCUGCAGCACCUGAUGGGCUCCAGAGUGCGUGCCCAAAGUUUAAAUAUUGCAAAUUUAAAAAUGGGAAACAGGUUGCUCUUCUUCCGCCGGGCUAAAUUUUGCUUGAUUUCUUUCCCCAGGGUUUGCUGGAUAACUUCCCGGGAGCCAGGCCACUCCCUCCAGGUUCUUUCCACUGUGUUUUACCAUUGCCCCGAUCGGCAGACCAGGGUUUUAACUCAUUUUGAAUUUUCAGGGACAGGAGCCCCGUGUCCAAAACACUUCUGAUUUCUCAGUUCUCAGCUCCAGGCAUCUCCUGGAGGCAGAAGGUGGCUGACGGUGCUCAGUCAGUCCCAGACUCAGCUCUGCAGCCCUGGUCAUGGAUGUGGUUAUCUGGGGCUUAUUGCAUCCAGGCCUGCUGUCUCCCUGGUCAGGAUUAUGCUAAAUGGAUGUGAGUUUUUGGACUCGGAGCAGUCCGGCUGUAUUUGCCAACAUCUUGCCAUGAACAGGGUGGGCUUUGCAUCCCCUUACUGCUCCGACGGUUUUAUAGAGUCCUGGCACCACAUUGCUCCUGGGUGCAAUUACUAUUCCCUAAUUGUAAAGCAGAAAAAUCAGCCCAGAAGUGCCUUAUAAUUGAGACAUCUGCCAUCACCAACUUCUCUGAAAAUUAACAUAAAAAUGCCAGAUCUCUCAUAAGAAAGUGUUUAAUACUUUCUGGGACUUGUUGAUACCUGCUGCCAGUGUGAAAAGCCUAAAUGGGUGGCCCAGUACAUUUUUCAGAAUUUAUCCUGAUUGCUGAAAACACCUUGGUUCUUAUCUAGCUGGGAAUGUUUGCCCUGCUUUUAACUCACCAAUUAUUUCUAGAGGGUGAAAAGAACGGGGGGAAGGGGAGGAGAAAAUUGGCAUACGUUGGUCCUCUGUAAAACUAGGGGUUGGAAGGCCACGAAGCACCAUCCUCAUGCCCUAACAAGUCACAACUCAGUUUUCCUAUUAAAAAAAAUUACUUGCUGUUGUUUCUUUUUUUGCCCUCUGUUUUCAGGGUGUCAGAAUUGGAACGGGACACUUGUUGGUGUUAAAGAAUGAUUGCAUUUUGGAGAGGAGACCCUUGUCUGAAAAACUUGUGUUUCAACUGUCCAAAGAUUUUGCACAGAUUUUACAAGCUCAGAUACGCUAACAUAGAUAUUCCCGGUAAGAAGCCGGAUUGAACCUUUUGCUUUCCUUUGCAACAUGUUUGGGGGUACAUGCUAACUGCUACUACUGAUUGGCAGAAGCUUACAAUUCCUUCACAUCAUCCUGAAACCAAAUUCAGCCUGUUAAAGACAAACAACCCACCAAGCAGCAUUUUUCUAAAAAAGGACACUUUAGGUAUUAUUAUUUUUAAUAAAGCUGCAUAAAGUUAGAUAGGAAAAAAAAAAUCCCUCUUUGGGCUGCUUUGACAACCGCUACCUACUGUCUUUAUUCACUGUGUGUUACAAUGACUGCUAGCUGAUGGGAUUUGAGAGGUUUAAUCAAAUUUAAUUAAAACUGGUGCUCCAUA